This is a non-coding RNA of Potamilus streckersoni, 74 nucleotides long. Lineage: Eukaryota; Metazoa; Mollusca; Bivalvia; Unionida; Unionidae. The record is from the annotation of a GenBank genome assembly.
UGCUCUGGUGGCCAAGUGGUUAGAGCGUCCGCCUCAGAUGCGGGUUGUCGUGGGUUCUAUCCUCGGUCGAGUCA